AAAAUUGCAGUUGAUACUGUCAGUCUUGAGUACAGUAGAGGUGGGCGGAAUUCGUGGUGUAGCGGUGAAAUGCUUAGAUAUCACGAAGAACUCCGAUUGCGAAGGCAGCUCACUGGACUGCAACUGACACUGAUGCUCGAAAGUGUGGGUAUCAAACAGGAUUAGAUACCCUGGUAGUCCACACAGUAAACGAUGAAUACUCGCUGUUUGCAAGGGCCAAGCGAAAGCAUUAAGUAUUCCACCUGGGGAGUACGCCGGCAACGGUGAAACUCAAAGGAAUUGACGGGGGCCCGCACAAGCGGAGGAACAUGUGGUUUAAUUCGAUGAUACGCGAGGAACCUUACCCGGGCUUAAAUUGAAGGUGCUGCAUGGUUGUCGUCAGCUCGUGCCGUGAGGUGUCGGCUUAAGUGCCAUAACGAGCGCAACCCUUAUCUUUAGUUACGACUCUAGAGAGACUGCCGUCGUAAGAUGGAGGAAGGUGGGGAUGACGUCAAAUCAGCACGGCCCUUACGUCCGGGGCUACACACGUGUUACAAUGGGGGGUACAGAAGGCAGCUAGCGGGUGACCGUAUGCUAAUCCCAAAAUCCUCUCUCAGUUCGGAUCGAAGUCUGCAACCCGA
This 620-nucleotide ribosomal RNA is filed under the name uncultured bacterium. Its description in RNAcentral is "bacterial SSU rRNA". It matches the Rfam family "Bacterial small subunit ribosomal RNA", at positions 617 to 1315 of the family's 1533-position model. The record is from RNAcentral.